This 254-nucleotide ribosomal RNA is filed under the name uncultured bacterium. RNAcentral describes it as "partial 16S ribosomal RNA". It matches the Rfam family "Bacterial small subunit ribosomal RNA", at positions 524 to 776 of the family's 1533-position model. The record is from RNAcentral.
UACGUAGGGGGCUAGCGUUGUUCGGAAUUACUGGGCGUAAAGCGCGCGCAGGCGGUCUUCCAAGUCAGUGGUGAAAGCCUGGAGCUCAACUCCAGAACUGCCAUUGAAACUGUUAGACUUGAGUACGAGAGAGGUGAGUGGAAUUCCCAGUGUAGAGGUGAAAUUCGUAGAUAUUGGGAAGAACACCAGUGGCGAAGGCGGCUCACUGGCUCGUAACUGACGCUCAGGCGCGACAGCGUGGGGGAUCAAACAGG